Molecule: ribosomal RNA, 406 nt
Filed under: uncultured bacterium
Lineage: Bacteria
Description: partial 16S ribosomal RNA
Rfam family: Bacterial small subunit ribosomal RNA
Source: RNAcentral
AUUGAACGCUGGCGGCAGGCUUAACACAUGCAAGUCGAGCGAGCGGCGGACGGGUGAGUAAUGUCUGGGAAACUGCCUGAUGGAGGGGAUAAACUACUGGAACCGGUAGCUAAUCCCGCAUAGCAUCGGGGGUGCCCCUUGGGUCUUAGCUGGUAGGUGGGGUAAUGGGUCACCUAGGCGACGAUCCCUAGCUGGUCUGAGAGGAUGACAAGCCACACUGGAACUGUGAGACGGUCCAGACGCCUACGGUAGGCAGCAGGGGGGAAGAUGGCACAAUGGGCGAAUGCCUGAUGCAGUCAUGCCGCGUGUGCGAGGAAGGCAUUAGGGUUGUCGAGUACUUUCAGCGAGGAGGCGUUACUCGCAGAAGAAGCACCGGCUAACUCCGUGCCAGCAGCCGCGGUAAUAC